GUGGGGAAUAUUGGGCAAUGGGCGAAAGCCUGACCCAGCAACGCCGCGUGAAGGAAGAAGGCCCUCGGGUUGUAAACUUCUUUUAAGAGGGACGAAAGAAAUGACGGUACCUCUUGAAUAAGCCACGGCUAACUACGUGCCAGCAGCCGCGGUAAUACGUAGGUGGCGAGCGUUAUCCGGAUUUACUGGGUGUAAAGGGCGUGUAGGCGGGAGUGCAAGUCAGAUGUGAAAAUUAUGGGCUCAACCCAUAACCUGCAUUUGAAACUGUUCUUCUUGAGUGAUGGGGAGGCAGGCGGAAUUCCGUGUGUAGCGGUGAAAUGCGUAGAUAUACGGAGGAACACCAGUGGCGAAGGCGGCCUGCUGGACAUUAACUGACGCUGAGGCGCGAAAGCGUGGGGAGCAAACAGGAUUAGAUACCCUUGUAGUCC
RNAcentral lists this ribosomal RNA (428 nucleotides) under uncultured bacterium. Its description in RNAcentral is "partial 16S ribosomal RNA". It matches the Rfam family "Bacterial small subunit ribosomal RNA", at positions 354 to 796 of the family's 1533-position model. The record is from RNAcentral.